AUUGAACGCUGGCGGCAGGCCUAACACAUGCAAGUCGAGCGGAGCGGCGGACGGGUGAGUAAUGCCUAGGAAUCUGCCUGGUAGUGGGGGAUCACGUCCGGAAACGGGCGCUAAUACCGCAUACUAUCAGAUGAGUCUAGGGCGGAUUAGCUAGUUGGUGGGGUAAAGGCCUACCAAGGCGACGAUCCGUCACUGGGCUGAGAGGAUGAUCAGUCACACUGGAACUGAGACACGGUCCAGACUCCUACGGGAGGCAGCAGUGGGGAAUAUUGGGCAAUGGGCGAAAGCCUGAUCCAGCCAUGCCGCGUGUGUGAAGAAGGUCUUCGGAUGGUAAAGCUCUUUAAGUUGGGAGGCGUUACCAACAGAAUAAGCACCGGCUAACUUCGUGCCAGCCGCCGCGGUAAUUC
RNAcentral lists this ribosomal RNA (407 nucleotides) under uncultured bacterium. RNAcentral describes it as "partial 16S ribosomal RNA". It matches the Rfam family "Bacterial small subunit ribosomal RNA", at positions 30 to 526 of the family's 1533-position model. The record is from RNAcentral.